Molecule: long non-coding RNA, 1409 nt
Filed under: Numida meleagris (helmeted guineafowl)
Lineage: Eukaryota; Metazoa; Chordata; Aves; Galliformes; Numididae
Description: lncRNA (ENSNMEG00000014713.1)
Source: RNAcentral
CCCGGCAUUGUUGCAGAGUAGGACAGUGGCAUAGGAUGGCUCCAAAGAAAAGAGAUCUGCAUCAGAAAGAAAACCUCCUGCCAUAUCAUCUCGCCCAGACCUUCCAGUGAGGCAACCUUUCCCAGCUCAGUUGAGGACUGCUUCCUGUGGACUGGAAGUAUUGCCAAAGACCAUCACCUCUUCAGCGAGUCCUUGCCCCUGGAACUGAGGAGCAGCCAAGUCCCGGGCUGGAGAUGUAUCUCGGCUUUCCGGACUGACCUGGACCAGAGCAAGACAAGAUAAUAGCCAGCUUCACACAAGGGUAGUGAGGUUGGACCUACACUGUGUUCUCCUGCCAUGGCCCUGAGACACCCUGGAUUGGUUCAGCCUCCCACCGGCUGAGAUGCUGCAAAUGCUGAGCUUUACCAGGACCAGCCCAUUCCCUUCUCCAACACUAAUGCCUGGCUGGGGAUCAGCCCAAUGCGAGGAUCAUCCAUUGCCCUGGAGGGCUCAUGUUCCAUGCAGUAAAGCAGCUGGGAAGGACUUCAGAGUCACGCUUGGUUGUUCUCAUUUUCCAAGGGAUCCGUGAACAGAGCCCCUGGCAGAGGCUGAUGAUUGGGUUUUGCCAAUGGGGAGAUAGAUAUUAUGAAAAAAGAAAAAAAUGCUUUCCCAGGAUAGCUGCAAUUGAAAUGCGGAAUAAUUAUAUUGCCUGACAUCGCACGGAGAAAGAACAUGGAGCACGCAGCAGUGAUCAGUAAAAAUUAAACGCUUUGCAGGUGGAGUACACCUGAGUUUUCUGCAGUUCAGAUAUGUACUCAGACUUUUUUGAACCUUUUGGGGCCUAAUUAAAUUCAAGGGUAUUUAAGCAAAAUCUGCAUGGAAGAUAAUACUUUUCUUUCUAAUAAGAAACUGCCUAAUAAAACAGAUUAUGUGUAAAAUAGAAAUAUGGGCCCUGCAACAGGAAAGUGAAAAGACACUAAUGAGAAGUGUCUGACUGUUAAUGAAUUGUAUUAGCAUGCCAUUACCUGCAAAUAUUACAAAUAGAGCGACCGGCUUUACAUUCCCUUCUCUCUCAAGAACUUUAUGUGAUUUCUGGGAGUGGCUUGAUGGGUUUCUGGGAGCUGUGUUCAUCCUUCAAGCCUACAGUGGAGGUGGAGUUUCAGAACCAACAUCCAGACCUCCCAGUCUCCAGGGGCUGUUCCACUGGCUGCUGCAGACCCAGGUGGGUUAGGAGAUGUCUUCCCAUUGUCCAAGGAAGAGCCAUGUUCUUAAUGUGGCUGGCUCUUUGGCUCCUGCACCCUCAAAUAAUGUAAGUAGAUGGACUGGUGGCUCCUGAGUCACAUAGGAAUGUGCUGAAAACAUCCUUGUGCACCACUAAAGUGGAAGGUGGUUUUUUUCUGCGUAAUGAAAAAGAAACAGAAACCAAGUGA